Molecule: long non-coding RNA, 261 nt
Organism: Lutra lutra (Eurasian river otter)
Lineage: Eukaryota; Metazoa; Chordata; Mammalia; Carnivora; Mustelidae
Exons: 3
Source: RefSeq, a predicted model, not a curated record
AAAGCUGUCUGAGCAUCGGGUUCCGAAUCAGCCCGUAUCUGUGGUCUCUGCCACAGCCAGAUCUCCAGGCCAGCAUCAUGUCCAGGCAAGAUCAACCUGAGGACUGAUGAGGAAACAGCGACCAGAGGGACUGGUACCACUUUCAGGAUUUUGGAGCUGAGCACGCACAGGCUGACACGGCUCACUCACGACACAUGUGACCCGGGUCACGGUCAAAACGUCACUGAACUCUCCCAAGGAACACACGAUGUAACUGUUGGC